UCUUAUUCCGGGCAUUCCAGUAACUUUUUUGUGUAUGUACUUACCUGUACUAUAAGUAGUUGGUUUGUAUGAGAUGGUUAAAAA
MicroRNA precursor from Nomascus leucogenys (northern white-cheeked gibbon), 84 nucleotides. It matches the Rfam family "mir-1244 microRNA precursor family". The record is from Rfam. Lineage: Eukaryota; Metazoa; Chordata; Mammalia; Primates; Hylobatidae.